CACGUAUGGGGCGAGCGUUGUUCGGAAUUAUUGGGCGUAAAGGGCGCGUAGGCUGUUCUACAAGCCUGGUGUGAAAGGCUGCGGCUUAACCGCAGUUAUGCGCUGGGAACUGUAGGGCUAGAAUCCUAGAGGGGAAGCUGGAAUUCCUGGUGUAGGGGUGAAAUCUGUAGAUAUCAGGAAGAACACCGGUGGCGAAGGCGAGCUUCUGGCUAGUGAUUGACGCUGAGGCGCGAAAGCGUGGGGAG
RNAcentral lists this ribosomal RNA (245 nucleotides) under uncultured bacterium. RNAcentral describes it as "partial 16S ribosomal RNA". It matches the Rfam family "Bacterial small subunit ribosomal RNA", at positions 524 to 768 of the family's 1533-position model. The record is from RNAcentral.